Molecule: non-coding RNA, 31 nt
Filed under: Homo sapiens (human)
Lineage: Eukaryota; Metazoa; Chordata; Mammalia; Primates; Hominidae
Source: RNAcentral
UGACUCAAGGGAAGGAAGCCAACAUUUGUGA